This 497-nucleotide long non-coding RNA is filed under the name Brassica napus (rape). RNAcentral describes it as "long non-coding RNA (BNAP_LNC017618)". The record is from RNAcentral. Lineage: Eukaryota; Viridiplantae; Streptophyta; Magnoliopsida; Brassicales; Brassicaceae.
UGGGGUCACGAUCCUAGUUUGGGUUUCAUCAGGAGUUUAAUUGUUCACAUGACUAUGGCUGCCAUUUUAUUGCAAUAGUGUCCCACUACGUUUACCCCGUUAAUUCCAUAUGUAAUUCCGUUUUUUCAAUAGAGUUUUAAUAUACGAUGGUGGUCAUAUAAUUACAUGACAGUUUAAGUUACGAUAGUCUUUUUAUUCACAAUUAGUUUUAUUAUUUAAUGUGAUCAUUGUUGAAUCUGCAUUAUGUUCUUUGGUGUGUUUGUGUAGAUGCUUCUUUGGUUUCCGUCUCAACUUAUAUGUUUUUUUUUUGUUGGUAUCGCAUGAAUUGUUGACCCCCUUCAAUUGGUGAUUGUCGUCUUUUACCCCUAUCUCAUUGUGGGGACUACUUUUCAUUCGAAGUUUUUCAUGGUCUGGGUAUAAAUAAUUUAUGUUUAGUUAAUAUUGUGUAUGUUAUAUUGUUCAAAAAAAAUACGUGUAUCACGUCUGUAGUUGUACGU